UAUUUUGGUGAAGCUGUGGUGCACUAUUAAUUUUCUGUUUCAAAAUGCAAUCUAAAGAUGCAAUAAAUAUGAUGACCUUGAUAGUUUUAAUGAAAUCUUCAAUUCUUGCAGCUAACUGUGUUUUGGAAAGUGAUUAAGCAAUAUUUCUCAAACCUGAUGAUUCUUGGAUAUUUAGCUAUUGUCCUCCAAAGAGUCAUCGUUUCACGUUUUCAAAGAUGUGCUUUGUGCUGAAGAUUCUUGUCAGAUAUCCUGUGCUUCCAGAGUAUUUUUAUCUUCAAUUUUAUUUAAUUUUCAUUUUGUUUUCAUAAGACAAUGUUUCAGAUAUGUAAUGGGGCAAACCACUAUAGAUUUCUGUUGGAUAGAAAAAUGAAAUGUUACUAAUAAGUUUAAAUUGACCCUUCGUUGACUAUCAGUACUGUUGAUACAUUUAUUAGAAUGUAUGUCUCAGAAGAUGGUUUCUGUUUAAAUUUAUGGUCAAGUUAAAACAACUGAAUUCUAAUACGGAUUAAAAACUCCACAUAAAUAUUUUUCCCCAUGCGUCUUGGGUUAUAAUUUUCCUUUUAGACUUGCAAAUAUGUUUUUAUUGCAGUUUUGUCUCCAUCUGUACUGUAGAAUUAUAAGCCUUGUGCUCUUUAUCUCUGCAUUUUCCACUUCUACAUGAUGCAAUUAAGAUGCCAAUGAAAAAUAUUGUGAACAUUGUUCUCGGGACACUUGUACCAUACUUGAACAGUACUAAGUCAGGUGUAACAUGGAAAGCUAAGGGUUUCACCUUCUGAUUUUGACAUAAUUGAAAAUUUUCUAUAAUGGGAAGGUGUUUAUAGGAAAGUAAUGUGAUAUUUCAGGUUUGAGAAUUUUAUUACUGCUUUCAUUUCCCAAUUAAAUGAUACUUAACACCUGGGAAAACAGGACAGCUCAGAUUGUCGAGUUAGUAAACAUGAAUGAUGAAAAAACUACAUUUGAAAUCUCCAGAGACAUUAAACAUUUUAGUGCUAGUUUAAGCCAUUAAAAGUAAAGUUUAAGUUUACAUCAUUGUCUCAAGUGUGGCUGUAAAAAUCAGAUCUAGAGUUUAGAGACAUACUUGUUAAUUUCGGAGCACAGGUUUGAUGUUUAUGCUUCUAAAUAUAUUAAAACAUUUCUGAAUUGCAGUUGAGUUGAAUGGUUGGAGAAUGCUGACGAUGUGAUGCUGCACUGAAAAAAUUGGUCACACAAAACGUUUAUAUGUUUGACUUCAUAAGUAUUAUUUUAGGUCAUAAAGGUUAUAACAAAAUACACUUUAACACUGCUUUCUUUUUAGCAAGAGGUCACAGAUGCUAUUUUUUUUCUCAGUUUUUAAUGCUUUAAUUUGAAAGAAAAAUGCAUCCUAACCAUUCUGUCCUGUUGAUACGGAGAAAUUUUGGUGAUUUAUUAAAAGAGUUCUGAGGAGGAUGGGUACAUAGUUUUUCAACUGCAAAAAUGAUGUCAUCUCUUCAGUAAUUGUUAAAGUGUAAUUCUCUGCCUUCAUUAUCAAGUCCAGGACAGUGUUUAUUUUCAAUCGUUACAUUAUUUAAAGACUGAAAAUUCAUUGCAAUUAGAGAAUGCACAACCUCACAAAAAAGUGGUUGUGAUGCAAGGUUUAAAAGGGAAUGGUGGAAGGCAUGCAUGCCUUUCUAAAGGAUAUGUUAAGUCACCUGUGUACAUUGUAAUUAUGUGCUAUCAAACCCCCAAGAUGAUGAUGAUACAGCUUCUCAGUAAGAAUCCUUCUCAUAGUGAAGCACUGUUGAUGUGUUGUUCACUGGGUAUGUUGGGUAGCAGGAAAGGCUUAGAACUGAUUUUAAGAUGGCUACAUCUCUAGAAGACUAGUACACUAGCAUCAUCUUAGGCUUCUAAAUUAAUUCCUCAGUUUGGAAAGCAGUAUUAAUGUUUACAGUGUAACUCAUUUUCCAUAAUAAAGGAUUUUUAUCUUUGUCUACUGUAACUUAAGACAUGACUUUUAUAGCAUAAUUUUUUAUAAAGUAUGUGGUAUAUUGUGUCAAUCUUGGAAGGAAAGCUGUUACAUAUCGAUUGUAGGUCAUGUAUUUUACUAUAUGUUGCAUAGUAUUUUGCAUUCUAUAAAUGCAAAUGUUAAAACAUUGCAGGUCAGCAAAAUUAGAAGUCAUUUCUAGUCCUCAAAGCAGAAAUAAUUAGAAAUGUUAGUAACAUUUAAGUGCUUAUCAUAUGCCAGAUACUAUUCUGAAUAUUUUAUGUACAUUCAUUUAGUUGUCAUAUUGGCUUUAUGUGAGAGAACCGUCAUUAUACCAGUGUUGUCCAGCAUUGCUAGUAGGAAAUGGCAGAGCCACGAGUUAGACCUAGGUUUAAUCCUAUCCAUAUUCCAUGUUACAAAUUGACACGAUUUUCCAUAUUAAAAAUUUUCCAUUUAUUUUGUACCUCGUUCUCAUGAAUAGUAAUGUGACAAACUAAUACAUGAAGCAUUGCAAUAUGGAAUUUUGCAUAAUUUUGUUAGCUUUAUGUUAUUUGCUGAUACCAACUUUUGGUAGGAAGGAAAACAGGGAAGGUGAUGGCUGCCCUUCUGGAAUGUGUCCAUUGAAAAGAAAAUAGGCGUUUUGUCUCCUGCAAUCUUAGAGAAAGUUUUACAUACUUAAGUGGGGACCACAGGUAGGUGUGUACCUUAAAUUCAAAUCUACAAAUUUACAAAAUGUUUUCCUUUGUGUGCCUUUCCUAUGUCAAAUUAGCUAGAGGGAAGAGGAGAUGUAAGAAUGUCAUAAAUUUAACAGGUAAUGAUACAGAGAUUGGCCAUUACGCGCUCAGGAGAAAAACAACUAGGGUGUCUUGAAACCCGUGCAUUUAAUUUUAGAAAUGGCAAAUUUGUAAGUGCGUCAUGUAAGUAAGUUGAUCCUAAGUUUUAGGGUCUAAGUUGACCUCGAGUGAGCCAUGCAAAAAUAGCUUUAAAAUUAUACAUGAGGAGCUCAAAGUAUACUUGUGUAUUUUUUAGUAACAAUGAAAUUGUCAAAUUCCAAGAUUUUAAUAACAGGACAGUUCAACUAAUAAACUUUAUUGCAUAUAAGAUUUAUUGCAAUGUG
This 3056-nucleotide long non-coding RNA is filed under the name Macaca fascicularis (crab-eating macaque). Its description in RNAcentral is "lncRNA (ENSMFAG00000063243.1)". Lineage: Eukaryota; Metazoa; Chordata; Mammalia; Primates; Cercopithecidae. The record is from RNAcentral.